Molecule: long non-coding RNA, 1139 nt
Filed under: Homo sapiens (human)
Lineage: Eukaryota; Metazoa; Chordata; Mammalia; Primates; Hominidae
Description: HSALNT0339049
Source: RNAcentral
GCAUUAGGGCACUUUGCCUUGCCAGGCCGGAGCCAGAUCGCAGGCGGGGAGUGCGCGACGCCCCUUCCCAGCCUCGAAAAAGCCAAGCGCAGGCCCAGCCAGCCAGAGAGACCCGGGUACCGAUUCCCAGGCUUGGGGGGGGCCCCCCUGCCACCACUCCGGGCUGGACCAAAUGACCCAAAAGACACACGCAUGCACACACACACACAUCACGGUGGACUUGUGGGGAGCGCAAAAGGGGACAGCUCAGAUGGUCUCUGUACCCCAGGGCCGCCCCCCAAGUUCUUCCUCGGGGGUCCCCCGCGCCCCUCCCUCGCCACAACACGCCACUAGAGAACAAACCCUUGCCCCGGUCACAGACCCCGGGCGGAAUACGCCCCCAGCUCCGGAGGGACACAAGCAGGUCCGGGGGCCAAGACCUGGUUCUUGCGCCCCGGCUGGCGGGGAUCUCCGAGCUCCCGGCCCCCGGGCGCGCGCCCCUCCCCCGCCCGGCGCCUCACAAAGGCCCUUUGUCCCGCCGAGCCCCCGGGACUCCAGUUCCUGAAAAGUUCCAGGAGAAAAAUCAAAGAGAGAGCAAAAUCGGCGAGCUCCGCCGAGCGGGCGGGGCAAGGCCGAGGUGGCAGCUCCUGAGAGACCCCAAGGAAGAGGGGAGCAUCGAGGGCUACUCUGGAAAUUGCAAAAAUCCGAAACUGCAAUUCGAACAGGAGGUUCGGGACCGCGAUGGUCCGGUUUCGGUGUCCCUGCCGCACCUCCGCACCCUCUUUCGCGCUGGAAAACAAGGGGUCCCCGAGGGCCGGGGUCGCCGCCCUCCUACCGGGGUGCAGGUUCCCAGGGCCGCCGUUCUCCCGGGGAAGAAAGGGGCAUCCCGCCCGCCCCGAGGCCAGGGUCCCAAGGCUGGGGUCACCGUACUCCCGCAUCCCCCGGCGUACUCCCGCAUCCCCCGGCGCUCGGUAACUGCCAGGGACCCGGCUCGGCGCGAGUGGUGGAGCUGGGAACAGAACCCAGGAGGGCCCACGAGCGCCAAAAGUAGCGUUUGCCAAGAAAAAGAUUCGAGCUCGGGGAGCGGGUGUCUCGCGGGGUGCGGGGGCCGGUUUGUUCUUUUCUCGCCCAGAUUUUGAAAACUCCAGCCCAGGCUCGUG